This is a long non-coding RNA of Antechinus flavipes (yellow-footed antechinus), 1030 nucleotides long. RefSeq lists it as uncharacterized. Lineage: Eukaryota; Metazoa; Chordata; Mammalia; Dasyuromorphia; Dasyuridae. The transcript is spliced from 2 exons. The record is from RefSeq and is a predicted model, not a curated record.
CUUCCUUUCUUCCUCCCUCCCUUCUUCCCUUCCCUCUCCCUUCCUUAUGUCCUUCUUUCUUUCCUCAUUCUAUGCUUCAAAGGGCAGAGCUGAGCCCAGAGGCCUUAGUUCCCAGCUUAGCCCCAGGAAGGGCUUCCUGACAGCUAAAGCUGCCGGGAAAGUUCCCACCCUCCAGUGGCUCCAGUAGGGGCAGCUGACAGGAAAGAAGGGGACAGAAGGGCCUCCUGGCUGGGUGAAAGGCUGGCCCUCCAAUGGCAGGGCCCCUGGGCCUAGGCUGCGCGCUUUGUGAUCGUUAGCCGCUUGGGUGGCUCUCCAGCUGCCCGGGGCGCUCUCCCCAAAUCUCAGGUUACAAGAAGACAAUGUUCUCCAAAAACAAUCAGAGGACCAAGCCUGGGCCAACGCAAACAGUGGCGGGAGCCACUGAAGUUGCUGCGGGACAUUCAGGCUGCGGGCGCCUCAUGAUUGGGGUUCCCUUUAAACCUCCCCACAAAUUGCCUGCCUCUAGAGUCCCUACACACUCACCCAAGGACCAGCCGCUAGUAAGAAACGGGCUGGCUCCAGGUCCAGCCUGCUAUCAUCCCAUUUGCUCCUCAAAGCACUGCUCUGAGGUCUUACCAUUUCCUGUCUCCCUUCUAUUCAACUGAUUGCAAGAAAAAAGUCCUAGAAAAGAUCAGAUGCUUCCAAAAGUCCCCUGACGAGAUGUGGAUCACUACUGUGAAACCGUGGUCCUGUCUGACCCUUUUAAGUUUGGGGGAAGGGCCCAGUUAUGUGAUAUUAUCCAUUUAAGGCUCUCCGCUGACUUGCCCAAGGUCACACAGGCAGCAUGUGCCAUCCAGGUCACCUGGGUCUAAGGCCCGCCCCUCAAAUCAAAAGGUGUGGAGAUGGGCCUUAGAGUGAAACUGUGUCCUCAACUUGGUUAAAAAGUUUUUAGAGGGAUAAGGCUGGCAGAGGAGGGCACCAGGUGGCCACAACCUGUUCAUUUUACUGGGAUGUAACCAGAAUGAUCAAAUAAAUCUCUUCUGGAAUAAAA